UGGCAAUCCAGAAGAUGGGUGGCAGGGGGCGGGUGGCCGCUGAGCUGCUUGAACAGAGAAGGAGCAGCCACUGUGAUGACAGGAAGCAGACAUCCAUAAAGUUGGGGCCUCCCACAGUUCGACUGGAAUAAAAAGAUUUGAAGUGAUUCGGGACAGUGGAGUGGAAGAGGAGGAAGAGGAAGAUAUAAAUGUUGGAGCACUGCCCUGUUGUCUGUUUCUGCAAUGGUUGGAAGCAUGUGUGACUUAGAUCAGGGAAAAUGUCUACCAAUGACGGAUAGCUCCCCCAUGACUGCACCCGUCAGGGGUUCUGCACCCAGGAAUUCGCCUUCCUGUCUCCUUCCUCCUCCUCUCCUCCCAGACGCUGUUAGCGCUGCUGGUCUUGGUGCUGUACCUGGGCACAGGAAUAUCAGGAAAUGGCUGGGAAGGAUCCGGACGGAUCAGGGACUGCAGCCACCCUCAGAAUCCCGUGGCAUCCCAGGGCUUUGAGUAUCAGGCCAGUGAGCCCACUGAAGAGCCAAUAAGGACCCUCAGGAAGUGGCUGAAGACAAACUUGCACGGUUUUCUGGAGAAGCUAGAGAGAGAAGUGAGAGAGUUGGAACAGCUGGUGCGCGACCUGGAAUUCUGGCUUGAUGCGCUCCUGGGAGAGCCGCACCCCGAAGACCUGUGCUCCACCCACAAGGGUCAUCUGUGAAGGGCAGGUGCUGGGACCUGGGAGCAGAAGAGGAGGCCAGGAGGCCAGGUUCUGACACUCGCUGUUCCAGGCAACAAUAAAGUGGACAAUAAAGUGGCUGAGAGGA
Molecule: RNA transcript, 797 nt
Organism: Peromyscus leucopus (white-footed mouse)
Lineage: Eukaryota; Metazoa; Chordata; Mammalia; Rodentia; Cricetidae
Gene: Smim23
Gene name: small integral membrane protein 23
Exons: 4
Source: RefSeq, a predicted model, not a curated record